AGUCACUGACAUUAGAUACCCCCGUAGUCCAGGGUGUAAACGCUGCAGACUUGGUGUUGGAAGCCCUUUGGGGGCAUUCAGUGCCGGAGAGAAGUUGUUAAGUCUGCUACUUGGGGGAGUACGUCCGCAAGGAUGAAACUUAAAGGAAUUGGCGGGGGAGCACCGCAACGGGAGGAGCGUGCGGUUUAAUUGGAUUCAACACCGUAAAACUCACCAGGGAAGACUGUUACAUGAAGGCCGAGAUGAAGACUCUGCUAGAUUUUCAG
RNAcentral lists this ribosomal RNA (266 nucleotides) under uncultured archaeon. RNAcentral's name for it is "partial 16S ribosomal RNA". It matches the Rfam family "Archaeal small subunit ribosomal RNA", at positions 718 to 982 of the family's 1478-position model. The record is from RNAcentral.